RNAcentral lists this ribosomal RNA (460 nucleotides) under uncultured bacterium. RNAcentral describes it as "partial 16S ribosomal RNA". It matches the Rfam family "Bacterial small subunit ribosomal RNA", at positions 338 to 795 of the family's 1533-position model. The record is from RNAcentral.
CCUACGGGAGGCAGCAGUGAGGAAUAUUGGUCAAUGGACGCAAGUCUGAACCAGCCAUGCCGCGUGCAGGAAGACGGCUCUAUGAGUUGUAAACUGCUUUUGUACGAGGGUAAACGCAGAUACGCGUAUCUGUCUGAAAGUAUCGUACGAAUAAGGAUCGGCUAACUCCGUGCCAGCAGCCGCGGUAAUACGGAGGAUUCAAGCGUUAUCCGGAUUUAUUGGGUUUAAAGGGUGCGUAGGCGGUCGGAUAAGUUAGAGGUGAAAUCCCGAGGCUCAACUUCGGAAUUGCCUCUGAUACUGUUAGGCUAGAGAGUAGUUGCGGUAGGCGGAAUGUAUGGUGUAGCGGUGAAAUGCUUAGAGAUCAUACAGAACACCGAUUGCGAAGGCAGCUUACCAAGCUACGUCUGACGUUGAGGCACGAAAGCGUGGGGAGCAAACAGGAUUAGAUACCCAAGUAGUC